Molecule: ribosomal RNA, 117 nt
Filed under: Pteropus alecto (black flying fox)
Lineage: Eukaryota; Metazoa; Chordata; Mammalia; Chiroptera; Pteropodidae
Source: RNAcentral
GUCUACGGCCAUGCUACCCUGAACAUGCCUAAUCUCGUCUGAUAUUGGAAGCUGGAGGAUCAGGCCUGGUUAGUACUUGGAUGGGAGACCACCCAGGAAUACCAGGUGCUGUAGGUG